RNAcentral lists this ribosomal RNA (221 nucleotides) under uncultured Leptotrichia sp. RNAcentral describes it as "partial 16S ribosomal RNA". It matches the Rfam family "Bacterial small subunit ribosomal RNA", at positions 136 to 355 of the family's 1533-position model. The record is from RNAcentral. Lineage: Bacteria; Fusobacteriati; Fusobacteriota; Fusobacteriia; Fusobacteriales; Leptotrichiaceae.
GACGUGGGAUAACAGAAGGGAAACUUCUGAUAAUACUGGAUAAGUUAGUAUAUCGCAUGAUAUGCAAAUGAAAGCUACGGCACUAAAGGAGAGCUUUGCGUCCUAUUAGCUAGUUGGUAAGGUAAGAGCUUACCAAGGCGAUGAUAGGUAGCCGGCCUGAGAGGGUGGACGGCCACAAGGGGACUGAGAUACGGCCCUUACUCCUACGGGAGGCAGCAGCC